AUUCUCUCAUUCUCUCUCUCUCUCUCUCUCUCAUUUUCUCUCUCUCUAAGAUCCUUCGCCGUUCGUCGUCCGUUUCCAAAACGGAGGGUACUGCGUGGAUCAGAAGAGGAAACUCUACACUUUUAGUGGAUCGGAUCGUCGUUUCGGAGAGUUUCGGGUUUUCCCAAGAAUCGAGGUCCGUCCGUGCGUCGGUCCUAGUAGAUAAAGGGACUGGGGAGGUUAUUUUGGUUAACUUACGUAAGCAUCUAAAUUUUGUACUAAACUUGAUGAAAGUCCUUUUUGGAGGGUUGUAAUAUGACAAUUACUCUAAGUCCGAAUGUAUGUAAAUUAUGGAUGUAUUAGUAAACUCUGGUAUAAGGCUAGUAAUAAUCCCAAUGGAUGUUUAUGUUUUUCCGCGA
Molecule: long non-coding RNA, 398 nt
Organism: Malania oleifera
Lineage: Eukaryota; Viridiplantae; Streptophyta; Magnoliopsida; Santalales; Ximeniaceae
Exons: 2
Source: RefSeq, a predicted model, not a curated record